ACUUUGCAAUGUGCGAAAGCACGACAAGGUUAAUCCGAGUGGUUUCUGCUAAAGGAACCUUUUGCCAGUCCUAGAAACACUGGUGAAUAAGGGGUGGGCAAGUUCUGGUGUCAGCCGCCGCGGUAAAACCAGCACCUCAAGUGGUCAGGAUGAUUAUUGGGCCUAAAGCAUCCGUAGCCUGUUUUGUCAGUUUUCGGUUAAAUCCAUAUGCUCAACAUAUGGGCUGCCGGGAAUACUGCAAAGCUAGGGAGUGGGAGAGGUAGACGGUACUCGGUAGGAAGGGGUAAAAUCCUUUGAUCUAUUGAUGACCACCUGUGGCGAAGGCGGUCUACCAGAACACGUCCGACGGUGAGGGAUGAAAGCUGGGGGAGCAAACCGGAUUAGAUACCCGCGUAGU
Molecule: ribosomal RNA, 397 nt
Filed under: uncultured crenarchaeote
Lineage: Archaea; Thermoproteati; Thermoproteota
Description: bacterial SSU rRNA
Rfam family: Archaeal small subunit ribosomal RNA
Source: RNAcentral